CAGGAAAGGGAACAAGAGAGAGAAGACUGCACCCGGGAUACGAAAGCAGAUAGCAUUCAGACACAGACAUACUUCCAGCCUGUGUAAGACGCUGCAUCAGCUUAUUCAGCAUUAUUUACACCAAGGAAAUAAGUAAAUUGACUUCUGUGAAGAGCAAAAAUCCCACUCUCCCUUUCUCCUUGAGAAAUACAGAAGCCAGUAAAGCCUCCAGCUGUGGGAGUGACCAGCUUUCAUGAUGUCUGUGCUAGGCUGUGGUUCAUGUGAGCUUGGUGGAGCCAGUGGUCUGUGGGCGACUUGGCAGAACAGCUGGAACAAAUGGCAAAAGUUAUCCUGGUCACCCAUCUGAGGGAGCAUGUUCUGACUUUUGUUCAUCAGCUCUGCCCCAGACUUUGGUUCAUCAGCUCUGCCCCAGCCAUGAAGAUCUGGCUGGAAUUUCAGCUGCUUAUGGACGUUGGGAUAACAGCAACAGUUUUCAAAAUGCGCUUAGAUCUCAGUUCUGCAGCACACUAAUCAUGGUUGGAUUAAAGGUUUUGCAAGAGCACAAUUAAAAGUUCAUAUAGGCUGCUUGGAGAAGGCUCAGGAGCAGUUAUCCAUUACUGGUAAUUGUUCAUUUUAUUAUUCUUGCAGUAAAAUCUAGAGACUUCAGCAACAGACAAUCUUCAUUGUCCUCAGCAAUGUAAAAAGCCGGAACAAAUGGCCAAUUUUUUUUCACACUUGGUGGAGAAUUGGCAAACAUUUUCUUGGAAGACAUUAUUCUUUUCUGAUGGCAGUCUAUCAAAUCCCAGUUUCAGCUCUACUAUCCACCAUCUAUUCCAUGAGCGUUACUACGGACUCCAUCCUCAGGUAGCACAGAUCAAACACAGUGCUGUGUCAGUCACCCAAACUGUGCUGAUUUGUGCUGGCUGUGUCACUCCAGCGAGGACAAUGACAUUACACCCACUGACACCAGCUCAGGAUCCGGCCCUCAGAUGCUGUCAAUGCCAUUUAGUACCACUCUUCUCUUUCCCAUUCUUCCUCAGUGCAGGAAGAUUAUUCUGCCUGACUGCAGCCAGGAGCCAGGCACAACUCAGCUCCCUUCCUGCACCCGGCCUCUCCAGCUCAUUAGAUCCCAGAGGGACAGGGGGUGUGGGAGGGGAGAAGAUCCGGCCCUUUAGAGGUGGUUCCAUUUAUAAAUAUUGACUUUAAUGCUAAUUUCAUGUAGUUGCUUGUAAAAGUCUUUUAGGCUGAAGCAGAAGGCACACUGCAGAUGGCAAGGAUAUUUUUCACAGUUUUUAUGGUGGAUAACAAUAUACUUGACAUUUUGCUCAUUAAAUGUGAGCCCUGGUAUGUGAGUAAACAUGCUAGGCAUCUGUGCUCUAAAAUUACCAGUGUGAAAAGCAACAACUCAAAUGUUUCAGUCAAUAAAUGUACAGCACAGAAGCAACAUUCAGCAACUUUCUGAAUGCUUUAUGCAAGGCGAGGACUGAGUUUGCAGUAUUACAUGGAACACUCUAGAACCAACAAGGAAGAAAUAACAUAUUGCUUUACAGUCCAUAUUUUUGAGGGAGAGGAUUACAUCCAAAAAUCUCUAAAGUCAACGUAAACACGUGCUAGACUAUACCCAUCAAUUUGUUUUUCUAGGGGAAAUAACAUGCGCCUUGUCAAGCCGCAGAACUAAAAAAAGAAUGGAAAGCAAGGAAUGGAGCCGGAACGAGCUGAAAGGGUGGAAGAGAGGGUCCAUGGAGGAAAAGGCAGUUUGCCAUUGUGAGGAACAGUAGACUGGGACAAGAAGGGGCAGAGGGACAGAUGUGUGGUGCAGCGUGAGUGGUUGUGAUGAUUGAUGGACCGUGAGGAGAUCAAACAGAACAGGUGCCACAGAACUACCACAGGCACUUUUCUGCUGCCCAUUUUUGGGUUUUCACACAUUAUUAAAGAAAGGAACCGCAGAAAGGAUGAAAACUCAGGUGGAAAGAAAACUCAAAGGGUAAGAUGGGUAUAGGAUAUUAAUCCAGUAUACAUGCUUUUUGCUUGUCUUUUCAACAUUUUGGAGAGACUAUCUUGAGACAGCUGCAAUUCUGAGUGAACCAAAACACACCUGAGGAAAACAAAUUUUAGCUUAGGACAUCUUGUGAUGUUCACAACUCCCGGGUCUUCCUGAAACCAAUGCCAUGCAGGCAACUACAGCAAAGUUAAAAUUUAAAAAAUAAAGGAUAGAUAGAUUGAAGUAAGCAAAAGACUGGUGUCUUGUAGUUUUAUUCAUGGAUUUAGCAUGUGUUUUGGCAUAUUGCUUUUUGAGAAGGCAAACAAUUUGUUACUUAAAUCUGUAUGAUGGAAAUGGGUAUGAAGAAAGUGAGACUUGCCAUAUGAAAUGAUGAUUUAUUUAAAAAAAGACCAGGAGGAUUACGAUAAUGCUGACUUCUUCAUUAUUCUCCAUCUCUCACAGCAGUGUUGGCCUAUAAACAUGUUUUUUAUUUCACAAUAUAAACAGAUGUCAUCUCCCUUUUCUCACUCCUUCAUCUUCCCUCAUGUCUUGCAAUUAAAUCUACCUUCAUCCCAAUGUUAAAUUCCUAUUUUCUUUGACAGCUGCUCUUCAAGUCAUUCUCAUUUCUCCCUCCCAAUAAAAUUCCUUGAAACUUUUGUUACCUGCAGGGAGUCAACUCUUUGAUAUAUCAAACCAUGAUGUAAGAGACACUAUCAAAAAUAAAAGAUUUUAAAAUCAACCUGAAAUGGGAACUCUGAUAUGAACUUGGCUACACUAUUUCUUACUGUAGUAGAGGGUUCUGACAACUGAAGCAGUGGAUAAAACUCCUAUUAAUGGAAAUAGAAAUGAGGUUAGAUCUGUAAUUGACUGAACUAAAAGAGAUCGGAUGGAUUUUUCUCAAAAAGAAGGUAAGUAUUCAAAACCUUUCACCUUUAGAGCCAUUUAGCCACCCAGUCUAAGAAUCCUCAUGCUGAAAGCACAUUCCUUCCCUUCUUUUUCCAAUAGUUACAGGCAAUCAAAACUUGAAUGGAAACAAAAAGAAACAACAAAAUUCUGAAUUUGUGACAGAAGAGUUUAAGUGGAAGUCUCACACAUUACACUUAGCAAAAUCAGAAGAAUUACUGAAAUCCCAGAAUAGGCAUGAAUUUGCAAGCAGUGGGAAGAGAAUCUGAAUAUUCUACCGAAAUCAAUCACAUUGAAAGAAAACAGUUUUCCUUCCUUGUCCUCAUUUGCUUCAGGACCUAUCAGAUAUGCAGUUCAGGCAGCUAAGCGAGAGAAUUUGGGGGAUAGAAGAAACCCAUAAUUGGUCCCCUAUUUAUAAAUACACUACUGCUGUUUCACAAAGGAAUCCGUGCUCUUGGAAUAGUUCUGGAAGGCAGGAGGUGUUUGGCAAGAUGCUUUUCCAUGGCUGCAGUCAGGUGAGGAAUAUCAGCACAUGGUGAGCUUUUGGGAAGCCCAGAGGAUGCAAAGAAAGAAUGACUGAUGUAUCUCUCUGGGAAUGGUGGGUAUCCAUCUCACCAUAGACUCAGGCAGGUAUAAAAAUUAGAUAUGCAUCAGUUAGAUGAAUGUUAUAGGUAAGUACAGUCAGUAUCUAUCAUGGGCAUUCAUUUUCCUCUACAUAGAAGGAAAAUGUCUUCAGAACUCGUGGACAGAAUAUCUGGAAUUACCAAUUCCUUGGUAGUAUUUGGUCUUGAUAGAAAGUUGACCAAGCACAUUAUUUUCUAAGUUCUCAAAGAGAGCAGUGCUGCAGGUCUGGUGGCACCCAGCACCUGACUAACUGGGCCUGUGAACAUACCAGAGGUGGCACUGGGUCAGACCAAGGCCAGCAGCACGGUGCCCUACCUGGGGGGAUGGCCAAUACCUAGGUGCUCCUGGGAGAGUGUAGCAGCAGAUCAAACACAAAGUGCUAUUUCCUUCAGUAGCUCCCUGUUCUUGAUGUUUUGUGCCUCAGGGAUUCCCUGCAUAAGUUAUCUUCUUUUAAUUUAAUGUAUUUGCCAAUCAGGUUUUGCAUCCAUACAAUUUUUAAGUCUUCACUUAUGCUGUGAUUAAACUGAGGAGCUGCUUAUUAUAAGUUGCAUAAUGUGGUAUCUCUGUCUAUUUUAAACCUGUUGCCUGCUGUUCUUUUUUGAUAUCUUCUGAUCACUAUAUCAUAGAAGAAAUCAGGUAUUAUCCCCUGUCCACCUGUCCUCUGCUUUGUUACUCAUCUCUUGGAAAGAAGGUGGUCUUCAUGGGAUGGAUGUGAGCUUUGUUAUAUCUCAGCCUCAUUCCGGCCUUCCUGUGCUGCUUGAAACAUUUUGCACCAGGCUGCCUGUGAUGAGAGGAACCUCUUAUCUAUCUGCACUUUUUCCUCACAGCUACUUCUUAAUUUUGCAUGCUGUGAGAAGACAAUCUUCCUAACGAGAUGGAGCCAGAGCAAGCAUCCUGGGAAAAGAGAAAAGGGUAGCAAGGAAGAAGAGAGCAAAUUUCAGAAAUUAUGCCAGAAAUGGGUAAAUCUUAGCAAAAACUUCCUCUUAGGGCCUUUCUAUAUGGAAAAGGGAAGAUGGAGGAAAUGCAGCAGCUCCUUUUUCGUAGAAAGAGGCAUUUCAAAAACAUCAGAGUUUCUCAGGUCCUGACACAGCCUGACUGCUGUUGUACUAAAGAGGGAGUCUGGAAUAGUUAUCCAGGGAAAACACCACGAGAUCUGUGCCAUGCAGAGAAACAGGGGACAUCCAGGGAUGAAAACAAGGGCAAGAGCAUCCACAGAGAUUCACCUUGAGGUCUGCACCGUGCAAGGACUAACACAUUAAAGAAGGAUGUGUGUUAAGGCAUAUCUCUGGAUGAAUUUGCUGUCUUUAUGGAAGUCACCAUCACUCAGAGCAGAAAGGAGCCUUUCACUGCAGGACCUGCUGGGUCUACACUAACCCACCUCCAUGCCAAAGCAAACAUUAUUCCUGCAGGCCCCUCUGUGCUACGUGAGGAGUACAGUUUCAAACCUCCCCUGCUCCAACCACUUUGGACACUAAAUGUGAAACUGCAGACCAGCUUCUCAGCUGGUUCAGACUGGCUCAGCUCCUUCAAAAUCAGAGGAGUUCUACUGUCACCAUCUAAUUGGGGUUUUGGCCCAGUAUUCAGCCUUCAGUUCCUUAAGAAGGCAAGUUGACAAUGUUUUUUAAUCCAUUGCAGAUGUUCCUCUCUUUUGCCCUUCUUUUCUCCCCUCUUUCCCUUCCCCUGCUGCAGCCAUCUCCCCUGUCUCCUCAGCUACCAGAGCUCACAUAGAGGGCAUUGUUGGUUACAAUUUACAGGGGGUGGAAAGCAUUAAAUCAUGGGUUAGGAAAAUAAAGUUCUUACCCUGCAGCAAUCAGAGGCGAGCAAUACUUCACCACCGAAACACGGCAUGUGCAAUGGUGCAUUUUAACCGGAUUCCAGGGCACAGAAAUAUUUGCAGCUCUCAAUCCUAAAUUAUACUCACAUCCAAUAUCUCGGAUUUUCAUAUCACUCAAACAUAAAACUGUCACCAUGUACAUUUGGGACUUAAAUUAUGUAGAGAUGAUAUUUUAUUGCAUAGAAUUUGUUUGCAUCUCUGUGGAAACCUGGCAGCCAUCCCACUGCUGAAGUCCAAAGGGGCAGUGACAAUUUAGGAAAAAGCUGAGAAACAAUCCAAGAAAACAAGCUACAUAUACUUCGUUAUCUAAUUGCUUUUUUUAUUUUAAUAUUGGAGGGAAAAAAUUGUGGAAGAAAGCAUGAUUAAAUAAAACCUGACCUUGAGUAAUUUGAACGAUAGACCAAGCAGCACACAGUAUAUUUUCACAGGAAUUGACCUUCACCCUGUUUAGGUUCCUGUUUGGGGUAGAAUUAACUCAUGUACAGGAUUGCAUAAGCUACCUGUAAGUGGUAGAACUUCAGUCUAGGGGAAAAAACCUAGUUGUCACUCCUGUGCAGCCAUGGAUCAGGUAAAGAAGGUAAGUGUGAUGCCCUGGGAUUUUGGUAUGCAGGAAAAGGGCUGCAGAAGCUUAGGACUUGACUAUGAUUUUUCCUCCUAUGCACUGUGGAAGUGUGUGUUCCUGCAUGUACAGUCACAGUAUCUCCUUAGCCCACUUGGUUUGGAAGGAGUGGUGCUGACACCAAGAGAUAAAGUGAAAGGUGGUGGGAACAGGUCCUUUCUGACAAUUCCAGGUGUCACAGCAGCAACAAAAAGAAGAUGUGAGCUCAAACACCUUUCUCUUGGAAUAAAGGACAGGUAGAGAAUAAUGAAUUGCAACCCCCAAAUGUGACCUCACCUCCAUGAGCAGCACAGCUAUUUUCUUGCACAUGGCAGAAUCCAGUUGAUGAAAGUGUUCUCCAGCCAUCCAGAGGGCAAGCCUGAUGCCUGUGCCUAGGAAA
This is a long non-coding RNA of Melospiza melodia melodia, 6319 nucleotides long. RefSeq lists it as uncharacterized. The record is from RefSeq and is a predicted model, not a curated record. Lineage: Eukaryota; Metazoa; Chordata; Aves; Passeriformes; Passerellidae. The transcript has 6 exons.